CGGCCCCUCCGCCGCCCAGGUGACCCAGGGACAGGUGAGCCCCGCGGGGCGGAGGCGGCUCGGGGACGCUGCGAGGGGCUCCCCGGCCACCUGUGGAGCCGGUGUCGCCUCUGCCGGGCGCGGGCAGCGCUCGGGGGAAGGGGCCGCUCUCCCCCGGCCCCGGGGACAGCCGGGGCGAUCCCGGGGAGAUCCCGACCGGAUCCCGGCGGCGGGGCCGCGGAUCAGCACCACGGACAGCGCCCGGCGGCGCCUCCCAGGCGGGGCUGGACCGAGACACGAGCCCGGCACCGGCAACCGGGAACCGGGAACCGGGAACCGGCACCGGGAACCGGGAACCGGCACCGGCAACCGGCACCGGGAACCGGGAACCGGGAACCGGCGGGUGCGGGCAGGACUCUCCCGGGACAUCGCCGCCCGCCCAGAGCCACCGAGGCGGCGCUGGACCGUUCGCCGGGGCCAGGUUCUCACCCUGUGCUGACGAAGGUGGGCUUGGAGCUCUGGGCAGGUUUUACAUGAGGGGCUGCACAGGCAAACUGUGCUGAAGCCGGGAAUGAACCCACACGUUCCCUGGGAGGAAUCCCCAGGGUCCCAGCAGGAUGCAUUAACAGCACAUCUCUCCAGCGAGCCGUGAUGGGAAGAGCACGGAGCAAAAAAAAAGAGAGAACCGAAGAACCGAUCUCUCGAAGGAUCCUGGCUGGCAGCAAUAUCAGCAUCUGACUGAAGAGAACUCAGCCGCACGCAUAAUCCUCGGGAAAAUUCAUCUCCACCCUCCCGCAGACCCCGAUUUGCUCUCUCCCCGCUCUCGCAGCCACUGAUGGAAGCUCCGGGGGUUUCCCCACCAGCCCGGCCCGGCCCCGCCGCUCCCGGGCUGGAAAUCCGCAGCUCCGGGAGGACCCGCGGCAGCUCCGGGGCACGGACACCGCUGCAGCCCAUCCCAGGGACCCUCAUUAGUAACCCCAUCCCAGGGACCCUCAUUAGUAACCCCAUCCCAGGGACCCUCAUUAGUAACCCCAUCCCAGGGACCCUCAUUAGUAACCCCGUCCCAGGGACCCUCAUUAGCAGCCCCCCGCUCCUCGGGACACGCCGGCUCUUGUCCCUCUGUCCCCGGAGAGAGCCGGUCCCUGUGUGCCAGCCCCGGAAUCACCGGCGUCUGGGGGCUCUGGCAGACGGGGCCGAGCGCAGAAUCCCGGCAGGAGCAGAGGGAGAUGGAAGGGACCGGAGUGGGGCAGUGCCUGUUCCAGUAAAGAUGCUGGGCUUGCCCACAUCCAUUGCUCCUGGCUGUUCUGACCCGGUGUCACCCCAGAUGUCCCCACGAUCUGUAGGAGAGACCAUGCAAAAUACACUUAUUCAUAAACUUUAUUAAUGGAUUUUUACAAGGCUCGGGGAGCCAGAGACCAGUGCUGCUGAGUGAUCUAGGUGCAGGCUCCAGGAAAAUAUUUAUUCUGAGACGCAUGGC
This is a long non-coding RNA of Parus major (Great Tit), 1456 nucleotides long. RefSeq lists it as uncharacterized. Lineage: Eukaryota; Metazoa; Chordata; Aves; Passeriformes; Paridae. The record is from RefSeq and is a predicted model, not a curated record. The transcript has 5 exons.